This 464-nucleotide ribosomal RNA is filed under the name uncultured bacterium. Its description in RNAcentral is "partial 16S ribosomal RNA". It matches the Rfam family "Bacterial small subunit ribosomal RNA", at positions 28 to 506 of the family's 1533-position model. The record is from RNAcentral.
GACGAACGCUGGCGGCGUGCUUAACACAUGCAAGUCGAACGGAAAGGCCCCUUUGGGGGUACUCGAGUGGCGAACGGGUGAGUAACACGUGAGUAACCUGCCCUUGACUUCGGGAUAACUUCAGGAAACUGGGGCUAAUACCGGAUAGGAAUCCUUGCUGCAGGGUGGGGGUUGGAAAGCUUCGGCGGUUUUGGAUGGACUCGCGGCUUAUCAGCUUGUUGGUGGGGUAGUGGCUUACCAAGGCUUUGACGGGUAGCCGGCCUGAGAGGGCGACCGGCCACAUUGGGACUGAGAUACGGCCCAGACUCCUACGGGAGGCAGCAGUGGGGAAUAUUGCACAAUGGGCGGAAGCCUGAUGCAGCAACGCCGCGUGCGGGAUGACGGCCUUCGGGUUGUAAACCGCUUUCAGCAGGGGCGAAGCUUGUGGUGACGGUACCUGCAGAAGAAGCACCGGCUAACUACGU